Molecule: ribosomal RNA, 481 nt
Filed under: uncultured bacterium
Lineage: Bacteria
Description: partial 16S ribosomal RNA
Rfam family: Bacterial small subunit ribosomal RNA
Source: RNAcentral
GACGAACGCUGGCGGCGUGCUUAACACAUGCAAGUCGAACGAUGAAGGAGAGCUUGCUCUCCGGAUUAGUGGCGAACGGGUGAGUAACACGUGACUACCCUGCCCCUUUCUCUGGGAUAACGCUCCGAAAGGAGUGCUAAUACCGGAUACGAACUCUGAACACAUGUUCGGAGUUGGAAAGUUUUUCGGAAAGGGAUGGAGUCGCGGCCUAUCAGCUUGUUGGUGAGGUAACGGCUCACCAAGGCGACGACGGGUAGCCGGCCUGAGAGGGCGACCGGCCACACUGGGACUGAGACACGGCCCAGACUCCUACGGGAGGCAGCAGUGGGGAAUAUUGCACAAUGGGCGAAAGCCUGAUGCAGCGACGCCGCGUGAGGGAUGAAGGUCUUCGGAUUGUAAACCUCUUUCAGUAGGGACGAGGCGAAAGUGACGGUACCUAAAGAAGAAGCACCGGCUAACUACGUGCCAGCCGCCGCGGUAA